GCAGGUGAGGGAAGCUCAUCAGCAGGGCCACAUGCUGAGUGCUUAUCACUUGAUGGUCCCUGGGAAGGUCUGAGACUGGGUCCUCCCUGAGAAAUCUGGGAAGUGAGUUCUCAGAGCAGGCAGACCCUGCAGGAGAGGCCCUGGGUGGGCAAGCAGAUGCCUCCCUCACAGGAACUUGGAACAGACUCAGGGCCAGGAUGGGCAGGGCUGUUAUUAGCCUACAGGAGAGGCUCCUGUAACUCUCACAGAAGGCAGAAAUGCAUUCUCUCUAC
RNAcentral lists this RNase P RNA (272 nucleotides) under Peromyscus maniculatus bairdii (prairie deer mouse). RNAcentral's name for it is "Nuclear RNase P (ENSPEMG00000004283.2)". It matches the Rfam family "Nuclear RNase P". From Rfam's summary of the family: Ribonuclease P (RNase P) is a ubiquitous endoribonuclease, found in archaea, bacteria and eukarya as well as chloroplasts and mitochondria. Its best characterised activity is the generation of mature 5'-ends of tRNAs by cleaving the 5'-leader elements of precursor-tRNAs. Lineage: Eukaryota; Metazoa; Chordata; Mammalia; Rodentia; Cricetidae. The record is from RNAcentral.